This 329-nucleotide unclassified non-coding RNA is filed under the name soil metagenome. RNAcentral's name for it is "partial contains 5.8S ribosomal RNA, internal transcribed spacer 2, and large subunit ribosomal RNA". The stretch from base 1 to 120 matches the Rfam family "5.8S ribosomal RNA", at positions 35 to 154 of the family's 154-position model. The record is from RNAcentral.
GAUGAAGAACGUAGCGAAAUGCGAUAAGUAAUGUGAAUUGCAGAAUUCAGUGAAUCAUCGAGUCUUUGAACGCACAUUGCGCCCCUUGGUAUUCCGAGGGGCAUGCCUGUUCGAGCGUCAUUAUAACCCCUCAAGCUCAGCUUGGUGUUGGGGCCUGCUGCACUGGCAGCCCUUAAAAUCAGUGGCGGCGCCAUCUGGCUCUAAGCGUAGUAAUUCUUCUCGCUAUGGAGUCCUGGUGGAUGCUUGCCAUCAACCCCCAAUUUUUCUAUGGUUGACCUCGGAUCAGGUAGGGAUACCCGCUGAACUUAAGCAUAUCAAUAAGCGGAGGA